CUCAUCCUCUGAGACAAUCAUCACCAUGUUUGCUGUGAAAGCAGUUUGCUUCCUCGCCACCGUCACUCUGCUUGUGGCAAUGGUGUCUGCGGGAGCUCCAAAUGAAUGCCCUGGAGGUUUAGCCAGGCUGUUCUGUCGCAACUCGUAAAGAUGAAGAGACGACAAGCAUCCACUGAAGACUUUAAUCACUAAAAACACUCUGUAGUCAAAUGAAAUAAAGUAGUCAUGCAUACCUA
Long non-coding RNA from Erpetoichthys calabaricus (reedfish), 236 nucleotides. RefSeq lists it as uncharacterized. Lineage: Eukaryota; Metazoa; Chordata; Cladistia; Polypteriformes; Polypteridae. The record is from RefSeq and is a predicted model, not a curated record. The transcript is spliced from 4 exons.